GACUUUAAAAAUAGUUAUUUUGAAAGUAACUUAGAAGAAAUAUUCUUAAAAGUCA
This 55-nucleotide transfer RNA is filed under the name Goeldia sp. DPP-2018. Its description in RNAcentral is "tRNA-Ser". The record is from RNAcentral. Lineage: Eukaryota; Metazoa; Arthropoda; Arachnida; Araneae; Titanoecidae.